RNAcentral lists this ribosomal RNA (179 nucleotides) under Ophiocordyceps formosana. Its description in RNAcentral is "5.8S ribosomal RNA". The stretch from base 14 to 167 matches the Rfam family "5.8S ribosomal RNA". From Rfam's summary of the family: 5.8S ribosomal RNA (5.8S rRNA) is a component of the large subunit of the eukaryotic ribosome. It is transcribed by RNA polymerase I as part of the 45S precursor that also contains 18S and 28S rRNA. The record is from RNAcentral. Lineage: Eukaryota; Fungi; Ascomycota; Sordariomycetes; Hypocreales; Ophiocordycipitaceae. RNAcentral also lists the same sequence under 1 other name.
CAGAAUGAGUCAAAACUUUCAACAACGGAUCUCUUGGUUCUGGCAUCGAUGAAGAACGCAGCGAAAUGCGAUAAGUAAUGUGAAUUGCAGAAUUCAGCGAACCAUCGAAUCUUUGAACGCACAUUGCGCCCGCCGGCAUUCUGGCGGGCAUGCCUGCCCGAGCGUCGCUUUCGACCCUC